RNAcentral lists this ribosomal RNA (294 nucleotides) under Triticum aestivum (bread wheat). RNAcentral describes it as "partial small subunit ribosomal RNA". Lineage: Eukaryota; Viridiplantae; Streptophyta; Magnoliopsida; Poales; Poaceae. The record is from RNAcentral.
AUGUCCACUCAUCUGUUUAUAAACUGUUAUUGGGAUGAGCUUGAGAUUGUUUCACCAAGGCACAAACCCAACACAUUAUCACAUGCACCGGCGGUACACAGGACUUGGAUUCCACCUCCAGCCGGGCAUCACAAACUUAAUGUAGAUGCCGCAGUGGACAAGCACAUGCAGACAGGUGCCAUAUCUGUAGUGUGCCGUGACGAUGCAGGUCUAUACGUGGGUUCGUCAGCUCUUGUAUUACAUGGCUUAACGGAUCCUAUGAUUCUAGAAGCGCUUGCUUGUCGGGAGGCCUAG